RNAcentral lists this ribosomal RNA (253 nucleotides) under uncultured prokaryote. Its description in RNAcentral is "partial 16S ribosomal RNA". It matches the Rfam family "Bacterial small subunit ribosomal RNA", at positions 524 to 776 of the family's 1533-position model. The record is from RNAcentral.
UACGUAGGAUCCAAGCGUUAUCCGGAAUCAUUGGGCGUAAAGCGUGUGUAGGCUUCCAUAAAAGUUUCUCGUUAAAGCCCGGGGCUCAACUCCGGAAUCGUGAGGAAUACUGUAUGGAUGGAGAUACGGAGAGGCAGACGGAAUUCCUAGUGUAGCAGUGAAAUGCGUAGAUAUUAGGAAGAACACCAAUGGCGAAGGCAGUCUGCUGGCCGUCAUCUGACGCUGAGACACGAAAGCGUGGGGAGCGAACGGG